UGAACUUAAGCAUAUCAAUAAGCGGAGGAAAAGAAACCAACCGGGAUUGCCUCAGUAACGGCGAGUGAAGCGGCAAGAGCUCAAAUUUGAAAGCUGGCUCCUUCGGAGUCCGCAUUGUAAUUUGCAGAGGAUGCUUUGGGUGCGGCCCCCGUCUAAGUGCCCUGGAACGGGCCGUCAGAGAGGGUGAGAAUCCCGUCUUGGGCGGGGUGUCCGUGCCCGUGUAAAGCUCCUUCGACGAGUCGAGUUGUUUGGGAAUGCAGCUCUAAAUGGGUGGUAAAUUUCAUCUAAAGCUAAAUACUGGCCGGAGACCGAUAGCGCACAAGUAGAGUGAUCGAAAGAUGAAAAGCACUUUGAAAAGAGAGUUAAACAGCACGUGAAAUUGUUGAAAGGGAAGCGCUUGCGACCAGACUCGCCCGCGGGGUUCAGCCGGCAUUCGUGCCGGUGUACUUCCCCGUGGGCGGGCCAGCGUCGGUUUGGGCGGCCGGUCAAAGGCCCCUGGAAUGUAGUACCCUCCGGGGUACCUUAUAGCCAGGGGUGCAAUGCGGCCAGCC
RNAcentral lists this ribosomal RNA (551 nucleotides) under Aspergillus tubingensis. RNAcentral describes it as "eukaryotic LSU rRNA". It matches the Rfam family "Eukaryotic large subunit ribosomal RNA", at positions 29 to 584 of the family's 3401-position model. The record is from RNAcentral. Lineage: Eukaryota; Fungi; Ascomycota; Eurotiomycetes; Eurotiales; Aspergillaceae.